Molecule: ribosomal RNA, 495 nt
Filed under: uncultured bacterium
Lineage: Bacteria
Description: bacterial SSU rRNA
Rfam family: Bacterial small subunit ribosomal RNA
Source: RNAcentral
AAAGGAAUUGACGGGGACCCGCACAAGCGGUGGAUUAUGUGGAUUAAUUCGAUGCAACGCGAAAAACCUUACCUACCCUUGACAUGUCAGGAAGUUUCCAGAGAUGGAUUCGUGCCCGAAAGGGAACCUGGACACAGGUGCUGCAUGGCUGUCGUCAGCUCGUGUCGUGAGAUGUUGGGUUAAGUCCCGCAACGAGCGCAACCCUUGCCAAUAAUUGCCAUCAUUCAGUUGGGCACUUUAUUGGGACUGCCGGUGAUAAACCGGAGGAAGGUGGGGAUGACGUCAAGUCCUCAUGGCCCUUAUGGGUAGGGCUUCACACGUAAUACAAUGGUCGGUACAGAGGGUAGCCAACCCGCGAGGGGGAGCCAAUCUCAGAAAGCCGAUCGUAGUCCGGAUUGUUCUCUGCAACUCGAGAGCAUGAAGUCGGAAUCGCUAGUAAUCGCGGAUCAGCAUGUCGCGGUGAAUACGUUCCCGGGUCUUGUACACACCGCCCGU